CCCUUAGAUGUUCUGGGCCGCACGCGCGCUACACUGACGAAGUCAGCGAGCAUGUCCUACGCCGACAGGUGCGGGGAAUCUUGUCAAACUUCGUCGUGAUGGGGAUUGAUUAUUGAAAUUCUUGAUCAUCAACGAGGAAUUCCUAGUAAGCGCAAGUCAGCAGCUUGCGUUGAUUACGUCCCUGCCCUUUGUACACACCGCCCGUCGCUCCUACCGAUUGAGUGGUCCGGUGAGGCUUUGGGACUCGAGCGGAAAAAGCGUUUCGCUUGUUCUGCUUGGGAAACUCAGUCGAACCUUAUCAUUUAGAGGAAGGAGAAGUCGUAACA
This 326-nucleotide ribosomal RNA is filed under the name uncultured eukaryote. RNAcentral's name for it is "partial 18S ribosomal RNA". It matches the Rfam family "Eukaryotic small subunit ribosomal RNA", at positions 1470 to 1796 of the family's 1831-position model. The record is from RNAcentral.